Molecule: transfer RNA, 84 nt
Filed under: Arenivirga flava
Lineage: Bacteria; Bacillati; Actinomycetota; Actinomycetes; Micrococcales; Microbacteriaceae
Description: tRNA-Leu
Rfam family: tRNA
About the family: Transfer RNA (tRNA) molecules are approximately 80 nucleotides in length. Their secondary structure includes four short double-helical elements and three loops (D, anti-codon, and T loops).
Source: RNAcentral
GCUCGUCUGGUGGAAUUGGCAGACACGCGCGACUCAAACUCGCGUGCCGAGAGGCGUGAGGGUUCAAGUCCCUCGACGAGCACC